AUAACAAUUCUGUAGUUGGACCUCUCAAGAAACCGGCGUAACAUAGGGAAAAGAAAGAACACUCCCGCGAGCAUAUUAGGCGCCAAGUAGAAGACCACAGCUAUUAUGAACAAUGAAGGUGAGUGCAUGGCACUCCCAAACCAACUCUUGAUAGUUCUGGCGAAUCCUGGAGGGUCUUCCCAGCUGUAAGCGUAAGUAACAGGCAGAAUAAUAACCCAUGCUGCAGCAGAUAGCACCUUCAGGAUGUAUCUUAGUUUAACAUGUAGCGACAUGCUUCGAUGAGCUUUGAAACUAAGGAUCACAUCAAGAGAAGCUGCACAAGUAGUUUUUUAGUAAAUGAGAUUUCGUCACUCAAGUAAAAACUUAUGAACAUUGACCAACCUUGUCCAAGCUUCAUUAUUGCUGCUGUGAUGAAUACACUCAGAACUUUCUUGAUGACAUCAGCUCCAAAGACCGAACUUGGUUGUCCGCCAUCCCAAGCCAUAAUAAUCAUGGCCUUCCAAAUUUUUAUCAUCAGCGUCACAUCUUGUGUGAAUAAGCAUAAAAAGGGUAAUAACAAAAUUGGGGAGAGUAAUAAUACCUGAAGGCACAGAAUAUAGAAGCUCCACAUUCGAUCGAAACUUCUAAAGACAUGCCAGAAGGAACGAAUCUCAACAAAAUUAACUUUCCCCACCCAUCUAUCUCUGGCCACAGCAGGCUUGCUGUUAUCCUGUGAUAAUAUGAUAAUAAACACAAGAUGUUAGGCAAGUGUUACAAGAACAGAGAAGAUGUGUAGUUAUUGUGUACCCCAUCUUUUUCUGUAUUGGGCUGAUCAACAUGCGGAUAGAAGAAAUCAGCAUCAGCUCUCAUUGGCCAACCUAAACGGAAACAAUCAACUGACCUGCAAUGUAGAAAACCAUAUGUAACUUAAUCACUAAAGCUACUUAUGAAAAGUGUUACAAUUGUGUGAAAGCAGCAGAUUAGAUGGAUAUAUCACCAAAAGUAUUCAUUCAGAUCAUCAUAGUUCCUCCACUGAGAGUGCUUGGACUUGCCUUUCUUGCUCCUUUGAGACUCCUGUGAAUGGUAUAUUAUUAUGUAAGUAAAAAUAUUAACAAGCAAAAGUAAAGAACACAAAAUUUAAGCUAUACCAUGGCAAUCACUUCAUAGAUAGGAGUCACAACUUUCCUCAGGAAUGCAUCUUCCUCGCCUCCAUAAGCUGGCUUCACAUUUUCUCCAGUCAUGGGACUGACAUUCCCAGCCAGCAUACCGUAGAGUUCAAAUGCCAUCUGCAAAACCAUGAAAUAGAGUAGGAAGAAAGAAUUAAAGAAUGAUAGAAUAAAGAAGAAGACUAUGCAACGUGAAACAUACAUGAUGAUAAAUGUAGCAGAGACACUCUGGCAUGAAUCUCAAGUUCGCUGCUUCACCCCAGAUUAGAAGAUAUAGAGCCAUAUACAAUAGUUUCCGCUGUUGCAUUUCCUGUUGUAUAGUUGGCAACCUGCAAGCAGAUAUGACAUUUAAACAUGUUUCUUCAAAGAUUGUCGACACUAGAGUUUGUAUAAACAUUUAGCCACAAACAAGAAACUUGAUUCCCUGCUCAUGAAGAAUAUAAGUCUAACCUUUCCUUAGACCAGUACCAUACCAUUGCACAUUUCUUUAGAUUUUCAAACUUGUAGCUACUCUUGAAGGAACUAUACAGAAUCAACUAUAGGUGUAUAGGAUUCACUUACCAAAGACUACUCUUUCGACCAAGGUAUUUGCACCAUUUCUUAUAGUUCUUGAAGAGCUUCUUCAUCACAUCCGUCAGUGCUUGAUCAUCUAACUGUGAGAGGAAAUACGUUUGUCAUUCUUAGAACUAAACUUUAUUGAAAUAAAAGUACGAACCUUUGGCUGCUGAUCAGGCUUAGGAAACUGUCUGAUAUGCACAUUAGCAAGUAACAAGAUCAGGUGCUCCCUUUGAUUAGCCACAUUGUCUUUCUGCAGAAUCAUAACAUACACAUGACAAAACAUUCACAGACUUAUAGAUUACUCUCAACUAAACUUCCCUGACUAAUAAAUUUACCUGAAAGCCAAACAUUUCCUGAAGCCAAUCAAGCAUGUCUUCAUCUUUCUUUUUCUUGUGACCUUCUGGCCAUGGAAGACCUCUAGUGUUGCGAAGACCAAGAACAGCAGCUUGGAUCUGCACAGUAAGGAUCACAUUACCCCGCUGAUAUAUAACAGUGCCCAAAGUUAAGACUAACCUCAGGGUAUCUCAUAAUCGCUUGAUUUGCACUAUCGGGAUCCAGAGGUAAGAUAUUAUAGUGGACAUACAACUGUGUCUUCUCAGCAACCUUAUCUUGAGCUUCGCUGUCUUUUGCCAUAUCCAAUGCUAUUGGAAUCUACGGCCAAAAAAAAAUAAAUCAGAGAAUCCUAAAGAUUAAAUUCCAAUGUUGGUUAUGUGAAGACAAACCUUGCUAGCCAAUAAGAACGGAGGCCACUGUAUGAGAUCCAAAUCACGGUCAGCCCAAUAUGGAACAAGCAGCAGAUCCAUCUCCCUGGAAAAGUCCAAAACGUUGAGUUCCACAUAGUUCAUUUUCAGCUCGGUAUGUGGCAUACAAAAUUUACCUAUCACUUAUAAGAUCUUCCUCUCUGAAACUACUGAUGAUUGUGUUCCACAACUGUGCAAAUCUUGCAGCUUCUUUCUCUUUGUUAACAGGUACCUGAAGUGAACAUUCAUGCAGUUAGUGAGAAGAAACGUUCAUGAUCGCAGUUUACUCGGUUCAACUAACCUUAUCCUCUGUAAAGUUGUGAGAUAAAGUUGCCCUUAAUCCCUUCUUCCUCUGCUGGUUCUUUCCAUCUGGAAUCAAGCGGUCAUUAAAAGCUCCAGGCAGUGAUUCAAACCGUGAUCUAAGCAUUCCCAGUGUCCGAAUCUGUAACAAUUAAAAGAAAGGUAAGGAUGAAGGGAUCAUCAAUGACAAUAAAAAGGGAAACCUCAAGUUCAAAUACCUCUCCAAGGCGUCGGAAGGCACCGUAUAUACCUCCAAAUAUUGUGGAGAAUAUUGCAUACCAAAUCUGACUAUCCAUGAAGUACACCUACAGAGGGAUGGACACAAAAAUCAAAAUCAGCAGAAGCACAACGUAGGGGAAGACGAGGAACAAUGUUGGACGUGACUAUGUUUACCAGAAUAAUAGGGGCCCAAAGAGCAAUAACGACACCAAUAUUGUUUUUGGCUGCACAAGUAAAAUGAAAUGUGUGAAUACAAGUAAUAUAUUUUACUUCCAGUAGUCAUGUAGUGUAUGUGACAAGUCGUUACCACGAGGAAAGAACUCAUGCCACUGAAAAUCUGUCACACGGGCCCUCAUGAUAGCUUGUGUUGGAGCAACUAAAGGCUUGAUCUGUAGCGAUACCAAUUUUAUCAGACUCUUGUGGCAAUAAGGAGCAGUUAAUGGUUAUCACAACUAGAGUAAGAGAAACAUGUACCUCAAUGUAGUAACUGAACGUCAGCUUUGUUGCAAUAAGCAACACCCAGAACAUGGUAUAUCUACCAAAGGAAAAUGUAAAAAGAAUAAGUAACCAAAAGCCAAUGAUGUGUUAAAAAUAUAGUCCUUACUUGAAGAGGGAAAAUGCACUCUCAUGCAUUCCUCUGCCAACAUAGAGUCUAGGCUGCAAGGUUAAAUAAAAGACGGUUAUUUAUUGUCACACCAGUUAUAAUAAAAAUUAAAAACUGAUGAUUGUUUUCUAAGAAUACCUGAGACCACCACAUCAUUAGCAUAACAAUUCUGUAGUUGGACCUCUCAAGAAACCGGCGUAACAUAGGGAAAAGAAAGAACACUCCCGCGAGCAUAUUAGGCGCCAAGUAGAAGACCACAGCUAUUAUGAACAAUGAAGGUGAGUGCAUGGCACUCCCGAACCAACUCUUGAUAGUUCUGGCGAAUCCUGGAGGGUCUUCCCAGCUGUAAGCGUAAGUAACAGGCAGAAUAAUAACCCAUGCUGCAGCAGAUAGCACCUU
Molecule: long non-coding RNA, 3965 nt
Filed under: Brassica napus (rape)
Lineage: Eukaryota; Viridiplantae; Streptophyta; Magnoliopsida; Brassicales; Brassicaceae
Description: long non-coding RNA (BNAP_LNC001070)
Source: RNAcentral